Odontomachus brunneus is the source of this 2475-nucleotide long non-coding RNA. RefSeq lists it as uncharacterized. The transcript is spliced from 3 exons. The record is from RefSeq and is a predicted model, not a curated record. NCBI's taxonomy places the organism in Eukaryota, Metazoa, Arthropoda, Insecta, Hymenoptera, Formicidae.
GGUAGAGCGUGAGCGCAGUCCUUGUCUUGGGGGAGCAUAAUAUCCAGUGAUCGUAUAGUGAGGGUAUUGAUGCUGAAACCCAUUAUUUAAAUGAUAAACCCGCAUCCGAGAUCUCUCGAGAUGCAAUUUUUGCAGAGCCUCUUUACUUCACAAGAGGCUUUCUGAUACGAAGCAACAGCCUUUCGCCAAGGAGGCUGCUACUUAGUUACCUCCGGAUAACGCCGUCUACUCGCCCGUCGCUCGCCGCAUAUCAAUCGCAACAGCCGCGUACCAAAUUAAGCAGCCGGGUGACUGGCGAAACAGCCACGUCGGGAACACGUUCGAAAUGCCUAAGCAGCGGGAACCUUGGACACCAAUCAACCACUGAGUGACCCUAAUAACCAUGCGGACCAUCUGCCUGGCGAAACCACGACAAAGACUGCGACGUCCGCCUGUCUUCCUUCGCGGGAGUCUGCGAGUCGUGUGUGUGAAAUAUUUCGCGCAACGCUUCCCAACAGAGUAGCUAAUAUGUCUGUAAUUUGUACCAAGGUGUCGUGCACGAGUCUUCGUUAAUAGAUUUCUUCUCGAUUAAUCCGCCAUCAUGCCUUUUGCUUGAGAAAAAGGCGCCGAUAACUUCUGAAUAAUUAGUCGCUUGAAAAGCGGCGGUCCGGAUUCGAGUAAAUCUAAAGCGGGCUAUUUUUUUUCUCUCCCUCCUCCCUCCUCUCUCUCUCUCUCUCAUCGAUCUCUUGAGCGGACUUUAACGAGGAUACGCAAAAGUCGAAGAGCGGCAAGAGUGCUUGCGAUGAAUUAUGAAGGUCGCGACGUUUUCAAAUUAGCCGAAGUCUAUCGCAAACGUUGAUAAAAAUAUGACAUUUCUUCUCCCUUGUGAAAUAUGGAGACAAUUUCUCCUCGAUAAUUGCGUUAUCCGGCAAGCGUUUAUCGAAACUUUUCGAACUUUCAUAUUCGUUUUAAUGUCUCAGUAACCAAACGCGAAACGAAAAUUCUGUUGAGAAUGACAUGCGAUUAAAGUAAUGGGAGAAACAAAGAUACCACGGUCUAUUUGGGUUAAUUGAAGAACUCAAUUUCUACUCGAAUAAUAUCAGAAGGCAGAGAGAAAGAAAGAGAGAUAGAAAGAGAGAGAGGGAGAGAGAGGAAGAAAAAAGUGGGACGGAGCGAUUAGAGGUUCGUUUUACGAUUUAAACUCGGAUAACGCUGAUACCGCGUCUCGCGAUAGCAUAAGCCAAACAAUUCACAUGGCAAAUAAACUUCACGAUCACCAUGUAGAAAUCGCACUCACUUGCGAACAUAUACGUAAAUAUACGUAAGAACCUCUUUACCGUUGCUUGAAGAAACACUCGUGCUUGAGAUAAAGCAGCAAAGAAUACUCCCCGACAGCCUUCGGGCGAGUCGUCCUGUAGUAAAUAAAACCUCGUUAUUUUGUAAACGCGGCUGAGUAACUAGAUCAGAAGAGCCUCGUUAAGCCGUCCAAGUCAAAACGUUCGAUUAUCCGCUUAACGGUCUAUAAAUAGUGGGAUUAUCCCAAUAAGCAAGGAACAUUAAAUUAACGUUUAAAAACGUUGACUUCACAACUCCUUUCUCUUGGAAAAGAAAGUGAGGAAAAGAUAAAAAACAGAAUGUAAACUAAAAAAAGAAUUUUUAUUUCUAUACCCAUGAAGCGUGAAUAUCUCCUCGCCAGAGUCAAGUUCAAGCGCAUAAAGAAAAUAGAGAAAUCGUGUAAAAUAGACAUAGAGAUACAGUCGUAUAAAGAAAGCAGACAAAGAGAAAAGGGAAAGUGUGAACUCCAGGUGCUUCGGGGAAAGAAGAAAGACGAAGCUAAAGCUAAACUAAGCAGGUAGCAGGCAGGCAGACAAGCAGGAAGGUAGAUAUGGAAGGUAUCUCCAUUAGACAAGGGCAUCGAACUUUUACUCUCGACUGAGAGAGUUGCGUAGGUAUUACCGCGUACAUAAAGGCAGGGUCGUUCGACCAUCAUGAGGUCAUAUAAAAACCUUUGCUAUAUACAACUAUGAGACUCGCUGAGCGACCUCUAAUUCUCUGAUGCUUUCAAUUUGAACCAUGAUGAAACUCACCAACAGCUUUAUGACUCCGCAAAAACCUUUUGAGGAAAGAGAGAAGAAAGAUCUUGAAAAGAUGCUACGAACAGCUACGUCAAAUUUUACGCUCAAUUUCACGUUAACAUUGUAAAAUAUUAUGACCCAAGAAUGUGAGUCGCAAGAAUAAGAAAACUCUAUCUGUUUUCGACAUUCUUUGGUGAAUAUUGUCUUAUUAAGAUGCGUAGAAAUUUUGAAGAAAGCGUCUAAUAAAUGAAUAAUAACUAAAAAUAACAACUAAAAACGUAUAAUAAAUAAGUAAUAACUUACAAAUUAUUAUUAAAUAAUUAAUAGAUCUUCCCAUAACCUUGAUAUUGAAUGGGAUCCGAGUAAGAAUGCCGAAAACUGAAGAGUAAUAAGUAUCACCUACUGAGUAUUAUUCUCCACA